This 75-nucleotide small RNA is filed under the name Rhizobium sp. EC-SD404. Its description in RNAcentral is "suhB". It matches the Rfam family "Makes More Granules Regulator RNA (mmgR)". From Rfam's summary of the family: SuhB later renamed mmgR (makes more granules regulator) was a putative non-coding RNA found multiple times in the Agrobacterium tumefaciens genome and related alpha-proteobacteria. Other non-coding RNAs uncovered in the same analysis include: speF, ybhL, metA, and serC. The record is from RNAcentral. Lineage: Bacteria; Pseudomonadati; Pseudomonadota; Alphaproteobacteria; Hyphomicrobiales; Rhizobiaceae.
CUGCAAUGCCCAUUUGGGCGUUUCCUCCCUAGACUUCUACCGCGUCCUAACGGGCGCGGUUUUUUUAUGCGCUGA